UACGGAGGGUGCAAGCGUUAUCCGGAUUUACUGGGUUUAAAGGGUGUGUAGGCGGGCUUUUAAGUCAGUGGUGAAAUCUCCGGGCUCAACCUGGAAACUGCCAUUGAUACUAUUAGUCUUGAAUAUUGUUGAGGUAGGCGGAAUAAGUCAUGUAGCGGUGAAAUGCAUAGAUAUGACUUAGAACACCAAUUUGCGAAGGCAGCUUGCUAAACAAUGAUUGACGCUGAGGCACGAAAGCGUGGGGAUCAAACAGGAUUAGAA
This 261-nucleotide ribosomal RNA is filed under the name uncultured bacterium. RNAcentral describes it as "partial 16S ribosomal RNA". It matches the Rfam family "Bacterial small subunit ribosomal RNA", at positions 524 to 783 of the family's 1533-position model. The record is from RNAcentral.